This 243-nucleotide long non-coding RNA is filed under the name Elaeis guineensis (African oil palm). Its description in RNAcentral is "long non-coding RNA (EGUI_LNC070747)". The record is from RNAcentral. Lineage: Eukaryota; Viridiplantae; Streptophyta; Magnoliopsida; Arecales; Arecaceae.
CAUUCUACUAUAAAAUCUGCCAAUAUCUGGGCUUUCACUGCCGGUCUAGGUCGAUAGUUGAUGUCGAAUUCUGUGAGCUCGAUCGCCCAUUUCGCUAUCCUCCCAGAGGUAUCUGCCUGGUGCAGAAUCACCUUGAUCGGCUGGUCAGUGAGCAACGUUACGGUGUGCCCUUGAAAGUAGGGUCGGAGCCUCCGGACUGCAAUCAAUAGGGCGUAAGUUAGUUUCUCUAAUUUAGUAUACCUG